GGGUUUCGGGCGGCCAUGGCGAAUUUUCGGCAGGAUUUUUAUCCCAGUGAAAAAGGCUUGUAAUUUACCCUGAUCAGCUAAGAUGUUGUUUCACUGGAUUAUUUAAUUGGGCAUAUAAUUGGAUAUCUCUGUCCUCAACCUGGAAGAUAUGUUUUGUUCCUAACCAUCUAUAAUCCAUUCUCUAUGAAGUUCAGACUGUCUGCUCUUCCUUUAGAAAUACACAGUUAGUCAGCCAACAUAGAAACACACAAACUUGAAGGUAAAGUUUCAAUGAGAUACAAUUGUAAUAUAUAUUUAUUUAUUAUUUUAUUAUUUUUUUUUUACAUAUGCAUGUUUAUAAUUUUGAAUUGAUAUGUAAAUGAUAUAUUUAA
This is a long non-coding RNA of Saccostrea cuccullata (small rock oyster), 371 nucleotides long. RefSeq lists it as uncharacterized. NCBI's taxonomy places the organism in Eukaryota, Metazoa, Mollusca, Bivalvia, Ostreida, Ostreidae. The transcript is spliced from 3 exons. The record is from RefSeq and is a predicted model, not a curated record.